UACGUAGGGUGCGAGCGUUAAUCGGAAUUACUGGGCGUAAAGCGCGCGCAGGCGGUCUUCCAAGUCAGUGGUGAAAGCCUGGAGCUCAACUCCAGAACUGCCAUUGAAACUGUUAGACUUGAGUACGAGAGAGGUGAGUGGAAUUCCCAGUGUAGAGGUGAAAUUCGUAGAUAUUGGGAAGAACACCAGUGGCGAAGGCGGCUCACUGGCUCGUAACUGACGCUCAGGCGCGACAGCGUGGGGAUCAAACAGG
Molecule: ribosomal RNA, 253 nt
Filed under: uncultured bacterium
Lineage: Bacteria
Description: partial 16S ribosomal RNA
Rfam family: Bacterial small subunit ribosomal RNA
Source: RNAcentral